Molecule: ribosomal RNA, 550 nt
Filed under: uncultured bacterium
Lineage: Bacteria
Description: bacterial SSU rRNA
Rfam family: Bacterial small subunit ribosomal RNA
Source: RNAcentral
UAGGGAAUCUUCGGCAAUGGGGGCAACCCUGACCGAGCAACGCCGCGUGAGUGAAGAAGGUUUUCGGAUCGUAAAGCUCUGUUGUAAGUCAAGAACGAGUGUGAGAGUGGAAAGUUCACACUGUGACGGUAGCUUACCAGAAAGGGACGGCUAACUACGUGCCAGCAGCCGCGGUAAUACGUAGGUCCCGAGCGUUGUCCGGAUUUAUUGGGCGUAAAGCGAGCGCAGGCGGUUUGAUAAGUCUGAAGUUAAAGGCUGUGGCUCAACCAUAGUUCGCUUUGGAAACUGUCAAACUUGAGUGCAGAAGGGGAGAGUGGAAUUCCAUGUGUAGCGGCGAAAUGCGUAGAUAUAUGGAGGAACACCGGUGGCGAAAGCGGCUCUCUGGUCUGUAACUGACGCUGAGGCUCGAAAGCGUGGGGAGCGAACAGGAUUAGAUACCCUGGUAGUCCACGCCGUAAACGAUGAGUGCUAGGUGUUGGAUCCUUUCCGGGAUUCAGUGCCGCAGCUAACGCAUUAAGCACUCCGCCUGGGGAGUACGACCGCAAGGUUG